This is a long non-coding RNA of Lolium rigidum, 3209 nucleotides long. RefSeq lists it as uncharacterized. The record is from RefSeq and is a predicted model, not a curated record. Lineage: Eukaryota; Viridiplantae; Streptophyta; Magnoliopsida; Poales; Poaceae. The transcript has 2 exons.
CGACGGUGUCCACCGGCAGGGACCACCUCGGGUCGAUGGCGACCCAGGGGAGGCCAUCCAGAUGAACUGUGACAUGCCUGCUGCUCGAGUUCGCGCAUUUUGAUUUUUCUGGGAUUAGCGUGUUGAGCGUACGAUGAAAACUUUUGCCGCUGCAUCGCCUGAAGGAGAGCCGCUGCUUUGAUGGCACGAGCGCCCGGCGGCCAUCAUUAGGAGAUGCGCCAACUGCUGCUCUAACCAGAUGAGCGUGCCACUUCCGUCACAAGGAGGAGAGCUAGGCAGGAGCUUGGUGGCCAUCACUAGGAGGAGCGCCAAUUUCUCCUCCAACGUGACGAGCGUGCCAUCACCCACUCAAGGAUGAGUGCCUGGCUAUCGUCCUCGCAUCAACAAGGCUGCGUGCACUCAGUUACAGGUCCAGGUUCUUCCCUCUCCCUACUGACACUUCUGAUCCCCUUUUUUCUGCAUCUUAUUCCAAUGGAGACGGCUGCGACACAGGGGCGAAGGAGAAUGCCCUUUUUGCAAAUAGAAGUUCUCCUUCUGUCAUGGUAGGUUGCCUCAUUGUUUUGGUGAAAAUUGAGUUCGUUGGGAAAUGUUAUUAGCGCUUAAUUGACUCCUAUCACGCAAAAAUUAAUUGUCAGUUUGCAUUUGAAGUAAUAUUCUUGCGAGACCACGAAAGCAGAGAUAAUGGCGACUACUUUGGUCUAGGGACAACCUAGAAAACAACACUUUUUAUUCUGAAAUGAACUCUCAAGCCGUAAAGUACGGCAUCCUUUAUCCAGCAGAGGAGGGUGAGAGUGAGCACAGAAAUUUCGUUGCCUCUUGGUCUGAUGAUCCGUCAGCUCCUUUUAUUUAUUAGCAGUGAUGGAGCCACCUCCCUGCAACCCCGGGCAGCACCUGGGCUCAUCUGGCAAGCAUCCGUUUAGAGCAGUGUUAUUCCUAGCGUUUAAUGACAACGGUUGUUUCGGCAAACUUUCACUAGCGCAUCAGCAGUUAAGGUCUGCCCCGGCUUCCAUGACUGGCACGCUACGCCACUGAGGUGAGUGAAACUUGGAUCCCAUGUUCUACAUUCGAAUUAUUUCAUGUUGCUCAGAGUAAUCUUACAUGACAGUGCAUUGCUGCUUAACUAAUGCACUAUGAAUUGUGUGUGUUGAUGUGCGGUCACUUUUAUCUAUUGGAAUUUUGAUUCCACUAAGGACUGCAGGUGAGUGAAACUUUGAUGUCACUAACCCUAACAUUUUGUUUGCAGACAUUUGUAUGUACUAACUAUAACUAAGCUAGGUCUAUUUAAUUUUGUAGGGGGCAUAAUUUAUUUCAAAAGUUAACGAGACAUUGAUGGAUUUGUAAUCUUAUUCUUAGGUUUAUCUACAAUGAGGAAAAGAUAAACAAAUCGUCUUUCCUCCUUCUCCCAUUCUGAGAAAGUUAUGAAAAUUGAUGCAAUUGUAUAAUAUCUACUCUUCACUAUUUUGGGGCGAAUAUGCAAUAAAAACUCUCAGUUACUCAUACCAUAGUACUAUUUUCAUUUUUAGAUGAAUACUGAUAUGCCCAACUGUGUUCUGAUAGAUAUUUGCAGAAUUCACCGAAGCAGAGAGUUGGAGUAAAAAUGAUGGUUAAAAGUUAACGAGACAUUGAUGGAUUUGUAAUCUUAUUCUUAGGUUUAUCUACAAUGAGGAAAAGAUAAAAAAAUCGUCUUUCCUCCUCCCAUUCUGAGAAAGUUAUGAAAAAUGAUGCAAUUGUAUAAUAUCUACUCUUCACUAUUUUGGGGCGAAUAUGCAAUAAAAACUCUCUGUUACUCAUACCAUAGUACUAUUUUCCUUUUUAGAUGAAUACUGAUAUGCCCAACUGUGUUCUGAUAGAUAUUUGCAGAAUUCACCGAAGCAGAGUCGGAGUAAAAAUGAUGGUUGUUGAAUGUACUGAUUGACCUUGAAGCUCUGUGGAGCACCGCCAACCCCUAAUGUUUUUUUUGGGUAAGGCUACUAAGCUUUCAUGUUUGUAAAUAACAAAUGUUGUAAUGUACUAAUUAACUUCAUGUCUAAAUUUAUCAUGUAUAUAAGAGAGAGAAAAAACCAGGCGAGUGACAUUUUUCACUAAGUUUCAGAAUAUAGCCACUGUUGGCAACAAUGUAGUAUUUUUAUAGAUUGAAGUUCAGCUAGAUGUCCAAUUGGUCCUUAAUUUACAUUCCCUAUCCUCCAUCUGUUAGCAAGUACUUGGUAUUUAUAGCCUUUCACUUUGCUCAGAUCGUAUGCUCUUCUUCACUGUAGUGGGAGAAAUGCAAUUCUUAGGUAAACUGCGAUGCUGAAUACAUUGUUAUUAGUCAUCAAUAAAUAUACCAAGAUAUGCAUUUUUUGUAUCAUUUCAUUAUCAUUGCAAUGACACUGUCAGAUCCAUCCUUCCCCGCACACUUGCAGAGACAUCUUCCAAGUACAUACACCAUUUCAAUGUCCAAACUCAUAUUUUUUGCGUUUAUUUUGCUAAAAUCUUCUUGAUUCUGAGCACUGGUACUAGAAAGCAUAAUCCAGUUUAGUGUAAGUUUCUACUAUUUCGAAGUAAUUUAAUCCCAUGAAUUCGAGUAAUGUGGAUAUCAUGCUGAUGUUACCACAUAAUUCCCAGUUUAGCACAGGAGGUAACCUGACUUGUUGUUCUCAUUUUUGUGUGCACAAAGAAUCACGUUGCAGAUUAGGAAGUCUCGCUCUUAUUUACGGCAGCGGUGAUAGCAUAGAACUUCUCUGCGAAACCUGAGCAAACUUCCCUUAGUUUGUGCCUCUUGGUUUUCCUAAUUCUGUUUUGUUCUUUCUGACUUAUAACUGAACUAGAGGACUUGAAUUGGUCAGAGGCAGAGCAUGAAGGUGAUGAUACAGAAGUUGCACGGCCAAUAAGUUCCAACCUACAUCUGCAGUGGGACCUUCCAAUCUUCAAUAUAGAUCUUCUUUCAAGUGAUUGGUUGUUCUGAAUUAUGUCAGCUGAGCUCUUGUGCAAAAUGCAAGUGCAAUAAGUUAAUGCCCCACAUGAUCUGUAGAUGUAGUCAUAUUUUUGGACGUCCAGAAUAGUUCCCUUUGCUCAGAUGAGAGAAGAGCAGUCUGAGAGAAAGAAAAAAACUAAGCGGACUCACAUUUUUUAUGAAACAUUGUAGUUCUUUCUUUCACCAAACCAUUGUACACUGUUGAAAGCAUAUAUACAUCUCAGUUUUAAGUUGUAAAAUAGAUGCAAUCUAGCAA